AUCUGCUUUGAGAUCCGCGCUGUGACCCUUGAGAGAGGAGUUGUGCCCCUUUGUGGUCCUGAGAUCGAAGGCGGCGUUGCAAGCUCCAGCGAUCGAAGAGACUGUGAGAGAGGAAGGGGAUGAGAAGCACGGUGGGGGACGUGGCCUACAAGGCAUUGACGGCAGCGCUGGGCGCCGCCACUCUCUACCUGGGGGCAACCUUCUCCGUCAACCUCUACCGUGGCAUCUCUUGGCACUCCGCUCAAUCCGCCAAGUUGGAGAAGGAAAAAUCUGAAGAAUGAAUCAGAUCCGUCUUGUAUAUUUUGAAUAUUUUGAAAGGUAUGGGCGUCAGAUGUGACUGGCUAUCCGGAGUUGAGGUGAUGUUUACAUGAGGCAAACUUGCAGCAUGUUGUACUUCAGGAAUAAGGAUCGAUGAUUUGUGCUUGGAUAUGGUUUUGUAAUUCUUAUCUUAAUUUCUAGUUAGAAGAACUUGAAAAAAAGUGAGGAAUUUGAUCCAAAAGGGGAAGCAUAAGCCUUUACUUGGAAAAACCAAGAGCCCUUUCCCUGUGGAUAAUUGCAUGUUCUCUUGGCUGGCAGAUGUCCUUGUAACUAGAUAAGAACAAGAGAUCCUGUCAGCCACAGCAUUCAAAUGAUUCA
Musa acuminata subsp. malaccensis (wild Malaysian banana) is the source of this 636-nucleotide long non-coding RNA. RefSeq lists it as uncharacterized. The record is from RefSeq and is a predicted model, not a curated record. Lineage: Eukaryota; Viridiplantae; Streptophyta; Magnoliopsida; Zingiberales; Musaceae.